CUAUUCUUUCGGGGUUUAGUGUGUAAAUCACAAUCGGAAGUAAAAUCAGGUACCAUCUGGUACCUGAUGAACUCUUCGAGCUCGGUGAAAACUGGGCACGAGUAGGUGCAACUCCUACAGCGACCGUAAAGUCGGGAUAAAAGAAAGAAUGU
Molecule: non-coding RNA, 152 nt
Filed under: Candidatus Microgenomatota
Lineage: Bacteria
Description: Microgenomates Roizmanbacteria FMN sequence
Rfam family: FMN riboswitch aptamer (RFN element)
About the family: The RFN element is a highly conserved domain that is found frequently in the 5'-untranslated regions of prokaryotic mRNAs that encode for flavin mononucleotide (FMN) biosynthesis and transport proteins.
Source: RNAcentral